UAUUGUUGUGAAGGGAAACCUUGGACAAGGC
This 31-nucleotide non-coding RNA is filed under the name Mus musculus (house mouse). The record is from RNAcentral. Lineage: Eukaryota; Metazoa; Chordata; Mammalia; Rodentia; Muridae.